AACUUUUAGUUUAAUUUAGAAUUUUUUCAUUUACACUGAAAAGGUUGAAAGUUU
This 54-nucleotide transfer RNA is filed under the name Cylicodontophorus bicoronatus. RNAcentral describes it as "tRNA-Val". Lineage: Eukaryota; Metazoa; Nematoda; Chromadorea; Rhabditida; Strongylidae. The record is from RNAcentral.